GAAGAGUUCUCACCGGUUGUGGCCACUAACUGGGCCUUCUCUUUAUUUCUCAAUAUUUACUUCUUUAGCAAAAUAUUCUUCUUUCUUUUACAGAAAUAUUCUUCCUAUGUGGAGUCGGAGUUCUGUCAACUAUUACUGCUGUUCUUGCCUUAACCCAGGCCAGCCACCCAGCCUGACCACCUGCUUGUCAUUUCCUUAGGCCCACUGCUCCAAGGAAAUCCUUCCUUUCUCCACUGUGUGGAAUUAGAGCAUGAGUAUUUGAUAAAUAAGGCAUAAGGAAAACAUUUAAAAGGCAGCAAAAAAUAACAGAGCUUUAUUUUUUCUGCUGUUUUUUUACUUUCCAGAUCCCCCCAGUAUAUAGUUGUAUAUUUUAGUUGUGGGUCCUUCUAGUUGUGGCAUGUGGGACACCGCCUCACUGUGGCCUGAUGAGCGGUGCCAUGUCCACGCCCAGGAUCUGAACCAGUGAAACCCUGGGCCGCCAAAGCGGAGCACAAGAACUUAACCACUCAGCCAAGGGGCUAGCCCCUAACAGAGCUUUUGUUAACUGAAUUAAUGUCACAAAUUUUAGGUAAACUUGUUUUUUUAGGGGUUAUUCCAGGUGCAGAUCAGAAACAGAAUUUUGGCAAAUAUUUAUUGAUCUCCAACUUUAUGCCAAAAACUCAGCUGAGUGCUAAGGACACAGCCAUAAACAAGACAAAUGUGGGUCUCUGCCCUCACAGAGCUCAGAAUGCAGAGGACAAGCAGGAAAGACAAAUGCCAAAGAAAUAUUUAUAAUAAAAUGUAAAGGCAAGGGUGAGGUGGAACCUUUGGAAGGAUACAGCCAGAAGGCAGCUGUGUGCAAGCCAGGAAGAGAACCCUCAUCAAGCCAAACCUGCCAGCAUCUUGAUCUUGGACUCCCAGCCUCCAGAACUGUGAAAAAUAAAUGUCUGCUGUUUAAGCCACCUCGUCUGUGGUAUUUUUGGUAUAGCAGCCCAGGCUGACUAAAACAACUCCCUUCCACAGUGUAAAGUAGUGCUACUCAAAGUGUGGGCCAUGGACUAAUGCCCGUCUGCAAACUGUUUGUUAGUGGUCCAUAACGAGACUAAGCACAGAAAUUGAGAGUUUAAGUAUUCAGAAAUUUACAGAAUUUUGGUCAAGUAAUUUUAUG
RNAcentral lists this long non-coding RNA (1147 nucleotides) under Equus caballus (horse). Its description in RNAcentral is "lncRNA (ENSECAG00000055484.1)". The record is from RNAcentral. Lineage: Eukaryota; Metazoa; Chordata; Mammalia; Perissodactyla; Equidae.